This 497-nucleotide ribosomal RNA is filed under the name uncultured bacterium. Its description in RNAcentral is "partial 16S ribosomal RNA". It matches the Rfam family "Bacterial small subunit ribosomal RNA", at positions 28 to 507 of the family's 1533-position model. The record is from RNAcentral.
GAUGAACGCUGGCGGCGUGCCUAAUACAUGCAAGUCGAGCGAACGGACGAGAAGCUUGCUUCUCUGAUGUUAGCGGCGGACGGGUGAGUAACACGUGGAUAACCUACCUAUAAGACUGGGAUAACUUCGGGAAACCGGAGCUAAUACCGGAUAAUAUUUUGAACCGCAUGGUUCAAAAGUGAAAGACGGUCUUGCUGUCACUUAUAGAUGGAUCCGCGCUGCAUUAGCUAGUUGGUAAGGUAACGGCUUACCAAGGCAACGAUGCAUAGCCGACCUGAGAGGGUGAUCGGCCACACUGGAACUGAGACACGGUCCAGACUCCUACGGGAGGCAGCAGUAGGGAAUCUUCCGCAAUGGGCGAAAGCCUGACGGAGCAACGCCGCGUGAUUGAUGAAGGUCUUCGGAUCGUAAACCUCUGUUAUUAGGGAAGAACAUAUGUGUAAGUAACUGUGCACAUCUUGACGUUACCUAAUCAGAAAGCCACGGCUAACUACGUG